UUGUGGGCUGAGGCAGAACCUCAUACAGCUCCCAGGGGCUUCUCUCCAUAGCAGCACGCCAGCCCCAGCCGGGCCUGACCGAUGGAGGGCAUUCCAGGUGGGGGAUGGCUGAGGUGUGGCUGGUCAGAGUAUCAGAACUGUGGGGUGCCUGACCUGUUUGCCCUGGCCUAGUGGGGGGCAGGGCAGGGUAGGGCAAGCUCUAACAGACAGGCCCCAGCCCGCCAGCCCUGCCAGAACCCCAGCACUCGGAGGCAGCCUCCGGAUCAAGUUCCAGCAGGGCGUGUGAGUGCGUGAGAAGGUUCAACGGAAGGAGAAGGCGGAAGCUGUCAGAUCGAGUGCAGAUUUAUCAAGAAAGCUGAGGGGAGCGGCCUGCAGCACAGUUCUGCAAGCAAAGACUGCAGUCCUUGGUGCCGCCAACACUGCCUGUUAAAGUAAAGCUCUGGCUCUUCAGGACAAGAUGGGGAGGCAUUUCCUGCUGAGGAAUGGCAUGCGCAAUGAACAGCAGAGCUCCCCACGUGGGGAUCUUGUACCUGAACCAAAACAAGCAAAGCUGCUAAUCUGUGGAGAUCAGUCUUCAAAUACCACAGGAAUGUAGCCUGCCUGCUUGCACCAGGGGCUGGGCCAGCUGCUAAGCUCCCGGGGCUCCGGGGCUCCUGCUAUCCGGUGGCUGGGAGCGCGGAGCUGGACCUGCCGAGGAAGAAGCUGCUCUCAGCUGGUGUCUGGUCUGCCUGCCGAAGCCUUAAACUUCAGUCACAGACUGACCACUCCUCACUCUUGUUUAAAGGCUGCUGGCCUUUCCAGGGCAUAUAAGCUGGAAUAAGUGUCUCCCUGCACUGCCUUACUCUGCAGGCAUACCGGUUCCACCUUCUCCCAGAGCCUGUGCUCUGCCCAGCACGGUCCAAUGCUGCUCAAGGUUUGUGAAGAACCAACUGGUUCUGUUCUUUACACUUCGGUUCUGUCCCAGAAUGAUAAUUGUACAAAAAUAUAACAAAGAAGAACCACAGGGAAAUUAAACACCCGUGGAAAAUGUAAGCCCCAUCUCAAAAUUAUUAGGCUCAUCAGCAUAAACUCACUGUGAUUGCUAUGAAAGUUUCCAAAACUUUAAUCUGUUUGUAGAAAACUGUGAUGCGGACCAAUUCGUAUCAUUUUUCACUCCAUGAUACAGCACCGAUUCUGAGAUGACUGAUACCCAGUCUGGGGCAUUCUGCUGAGGCUGCUGCCUGCUUUACCCUCAGGUGGAAAUUAUGGAGGCUGAGCUAGAGCGCCGCAGGCCCUGGCCUGGCAGCUGUGAAGAGCAUAGUAAAAACGCCUUAGACCUGUAAAGAUAGCUCAGUCAGGGGCCCUUACUACACACAACCAAGGCUGCACCCGAGAACAAGAACUCAGUGGUGUCACUCACUCAAGGUAACCAGACCCAGUCCUGGAACCCCAUGAUGCUCACGGGACAGUAUACAAGCAGAGACCAAGAGCCAUGAUGUUCUGAACAUCUGGAGAGAUACCCCUGAUCUGCUCUGCAGCAGAGGGUCUCCACCAGGAUCCUGACUCUUGAAUCACAGACCGGUUAAAGAUUGGACCUAACCUUCAGCUAAGGUGAGCAGCCUUGGAGAGAUAGGCUUAGGGACCAUAGUUAGGAAUUUAGAGUGCGAUCUUAUGUAAUGACCGUCGGCAUAAUAAAAUACACCACUGGCUGCACCUGCA
This is a long non-coding RNA of Apodemus sylvaticus (European woodmouse), 1698 nucleotides long. RefSeq lists it as uncharacterized. The record is from RefSeq and is a predicted model, not a curated record. Lineage: Eukaryota; Metazoa; Chordata; Mammalia; Rodentia; Muridae. The transcript is spliced from 4 exons.